GGCGGCGCAGCGCGGAGAGUUCGCGGCAGACGGCGCAGAAAGCCGGCUCCUUACCUUUGCGCUUGGACCUCCUCCUCCUCCUCCGCUUGGACUUGCAUUUCAGUUGACUGCUCAGCCCUCCGGACCCUCUGCUGGUCCCCAAGACCGAUGCCAUGGCUGGGACCCGCUGGGCUGAGAGCCGCGAUCUAAGCUCCAGUGCCAAAGUGCUCUAGGGCCGGAGGGACCGCGAAGGAAAGGAGAGGAACCUGAGGCCUGCGCCAGGAC
Molecule: long non-coding RNA, 264 nt
Organism: Globicephala melas (long-finned pilot whale)
Lineage: Eukaryota; Metazoa; Chordata; Mammalia; Artiodactyla; Delphinidae
Source: RefSeq, a predicted model, not a curated record